Molecule: ribosomal RNA, 422 nt
Filed under: uncultured bacterium
Lineage: Bacteria
Description: bacterial SSU rRNA
Rfam family: Bacterial small subunit ribosomal RNA
Source: RNAcentral
CCCUUAGAGUUUGAUCCUGGCUCAGAAUGAACGUUGGCGGCGUGGAUUAGGCAUGCAAGUCGAACGGGUCCGGCUUCGGCCGGGCCAGUGGCGGAAGGGUGAGUAAGGCGACGGCAACCAACCCCGAGGUUGGGUAUAGCCGCGGGAAACUGCGGGUAAUCCCCAGCGACGUGACGACGCCGACAUCGGCGUUUCACCAAAGGCGCGAGCCGCCUUGGGACGGGCCGUCGUGGUAUUAGGUAGUUGGCGGGGUAACGGCCCACCAAGCCGAUGAUGCCUACCGGGCGUGCGAGCGUGGCCCGGCACACUGGGACUGAGACACUGCCCAGACUCUUACGGGAGGCUGCAGUCGAGAAUCUUCGGCAAUGGGCGCAAGCCUGACCGAGCGACGCCGCGUGGAGGAUGAAGGCCUUCGGGUUGUA